GAAAUUAACAAGAGAAAAUGGUAUAUGGAGGUUAUAAUUACAAGUUUCUUUCCUUUUUCAUAGAAGGGUGGUGUGAGUGGACACAUGUGUCCUUAUUGGAAUAUGAUUUGGCUAAGAUUUGAAAGGCUGUGUUUUUUUGUAUCUUGAGACAUGUUUUACAUGAAUACAAAACCCUACCACUUAUUCUUCUUUAGACUUUUUAUAUCUCAAAACCCUUCAAUUUUUU
This 226-nucleotide long non-coding RNA is filed under the name Lathyrus oleraceus (garden pea). Its description in RNAcentral is "Pisum sativum (pea) long non-coding RNA (PSAT_LNC017019)". The record is from RNAcentral. Lineage: Eukaryota; Viridiplantae; Streptophyta; Magnoliopsida; Fabales; Fabaceae.